RNAcentral lists this ribosomal RNA (469 nucleotides) under uncultured bacterium. RNAcentral's name for it is "bacterial SSU rRNA". It matches the Rfam family "Bacterial small subunit ribosomal RNA", at positions 329 to 793 of the family's 1533-position model. The record is from RNAcentral.
UGCCAGACUCCUACGGGAGGCAGCAGUGAGGAAUAUUGGUCAAUGGUCGGGAGACUGAACCAGCCAAGCCGCGUGAGGGAGGAAGGUACAGAGUAUCGUAAACCUCUUUUGUCAGGGAACAAAGACUGGGACGCGUCCCCGGAUGAGUGUACCUGAAGAAAAAGCAUCGGCUAACUCCGUGCCAGCAGCCGCGGUAAUACGGAGGAUGCGAGCGUUAUCCGGAUUUAUUGGGUUUAAAGGGUGCGCAGGCGGUCUGUUAAGUCAGCGGUCAAAGCCCGGGGCUCAACCCCGGGGCUGCGAUUGAAACUGCACACCUUGAGUAUCGGAGAGGAAAGCGGAAUUCCUAGUGUAGCGGUGAAAUGCGUAGAUAUUAGGAGGAACACCAGUGGCGAAGGCGGCUUUCUGGACGACAACUGACGCUGAGGCGCGAAAGUGUGGGGAGCAAACAGGAUUAGAUACCCCAGUAGAG